GGGUCGAUGAUGAGACCUCAUAUUGUCUUGAAGAGAGGUGAUGACUUAAAAAUCAUACUCAGUAGGAUUACGCUGAGGCCC
Oryctolagus cuniculus (rabbit) is the source of this 81-nucleotide small nucleolar RNA. Its record names the gene SNORD115. It matches the Rfam family "Small nucleolar RNA SNORD115". Rfam says of the family: HBII-52 is a member of the C/D class of snoRNAs, which contain the C (UGAUGA) and D (CUGA) box motifs. HBII-52 is encoded in a tandemly repeated array with another C/D snoRNA, HBII-85, in the Prader-Willi syndrome (PWS) region of chromosome 15. HBII-52 is exclusively expressed in the brain but is absent in PWS patients. The record is from Ensembl. NCBI's taxonomy places the organism in Eukaryota, Metazoa, Chordata, Mammalia, Lagomorpha, Leporidae.